GACGAACGCUGGCGGCGUGCUUAACACAUGCAAGUCGAACGGGGAAGCGCCUUCCUUUUUGGUGGGUGUGGAGGAGUGGCGAACGGGUGAGUAACACGUGAGGAACCUGCCCCCUUCUUCGGGAUAACCGCAUGAAAGUGUGGCUAAUACGGGAUAUUCUGGGUCUGUCGCAUGAUGGGUCUGGGAAAGAUAUUGUUUCGGGGGGGGAGGGUAUCGCGGCCUAUCAGCUUGUUGGUGGGGUGAUGGGCUACCAAGGCGGUGACGGGUAGCCGGCCUGAGAGGGUGGACGGUCACACGGGGGCUGAGACACGGCCCAGGCUCCUACGAGAGGCAGCAGUGGCUAAUAUUGCACAAUGGGCGCAAGCCUGAUGCAGCGACGCCGCGUGAGGGAUGGAGGCCUUCGGGUUGUGAACAUCUUUCGCCAGUGAAGAAGGCCUGCCUCGUUUGUGGGUGGGUUGACGGUAGCUGGAUAAGAAGCGCCGGCUAACUACGUG
This 494-nucleotide ribosomal RNA is filed under the name uncultured bacterium. Its description in RNAcentral is "partial 16S ribosomal RNA". It matches the Rfam family "Bacterial small subunit ribosomal RNA", at positions 28 to 507 of the family's 1533-position model. The record is from RNAcentral.